Molecule: ribosomal RNA, 447 nt
Filed under: uncultured archaeon
Lineage: Archaea
Description: partial 16S ribosomal RNA
Rfam family: Archaeal small subunit ribosomal RNA
Source: RNAcentral
GUGCAGCAGUCGAGAAAACUCCGCAAUACGCGAAAGCGUGACGGGGCUACCCCGAGUGUCGUCCGCUGAGGACGACUUUUCCACGCUGUAAGGAGGCGUGGGAAUAAGGAGAGGGCAAGUCUGGUGUCAGCCGCCGCGGUAAUACCAGCUCUCCGAGUGGUAGGGAUGAUUAUUGGGCUUAAAGCGUCCGUAGCUGGCCUUUCAAGUCUCUUGUUAAAUCCAGCGAUUCAAUCGUUGGACUGCGGGAGAUACUGUUAGGCUAGGGGGCGGGAGAAGCCGACGGUAUUUCCGGGGUAGGGGUAAAAUCCUAUAAUCCCGGGAAGACCACCAGUGGCGUAGGCGGUCGGCUAGCACGCGCUCGACAGUGAGGGACGAAAGCUGGGGUAGCGAACCGGAUUAGAUAUGAAGUUGAGUUUUUACCAGCUUCACUAGAAACCCCGGUAGUCC